ACGCUCGACACCUACUGGAGGCAGCAGUCGGGAAUAUUGCGCAAUGGAGGAAACUCUGACGCAGUGACGCCGCGUAUAGGAAGAAGGUUUUCGGAUUGUAAACUAUUGUCGUUAGGGAAGAAAAAAGACAGUACCUAAGGAGGAAGCUCCGGCUAACUACGUGCAAGCAGCCGCGGUAAUCUGAGCGGGCUGGCAAGGC
This 199-nucleotide ribosomal RNA is filed under the name uncultured bacterium. RNAcentral's name for it is "partial 16S ribosomal RNA". It matches the Rfam family "Bacterial small subunit ribosomal RNA", at positions 328 to 539 of the family's 1533-position model. The record is from RNAcentral.